GACUCAGUGAUCUAAUGUUAAAGCGUUCGCCGCGGAACCAGAGGGUCUUGGGUUCGAUCCCCGACAGGGUCG
This 72-nucleotide transfer RNA is filed under the name Schistosoma japonicum. Its description in RNAcentral is "tRNA-Pro". The record is from RNAcentral. Lineage: Eukaryota; Metazoa; Platyhelminthes; Trematoda; Strigeidida; Schistosomatidae.